RNAcentral lists this small nuclear RNA (303 nucleotides) under Cavia aperea (Brazilian guinea pig). RNAcentral's name for it is "7SK RNA (ENSCAPG00000001841.1)". It matches the Rfam family "7SK RNA". From Rfam's summary of the family: 7SK was discovered as an abundant small nuclear RNA in the mid-70s but a possible function has only recently been suggested. Two independent studies have found that 7SK RNA binds the CDK9/cyclin T complex (known as elongation factor P-TEFb). Lineage: Eukaryota; Metazoa; Chordata; Mammalia; Rodentia; Caviidae. The record is from RNAcentral.
GGAUAUAAAGAUGAUCUGUCUGUGACAUGUCACCCAUGGAUCACCAGGCUGAUGUAGCCGGCUAGGGGAAUGUCCUCCUCUUCCCUCACCGCUCCACGUGUUUCCCUCCCGAAGCUGCUGCAAGCUCAGUGGACGAGGGCGACCACCCUUGAGAGUGGAGGACAUUUCCUUGCUUAAGGGUAUAUGAGUAGCUGCAUUCCCCUGCUAGAACCUCCAAACAAGCUUUAUAAGUCCUAGGAGUUUUUAUAUACAAUAUUCAUUCAUUCUACAAAUAUGUGAGCUCUGGGGCAGUCAGCAUAUUGU